UGCAUCCGGGGCUUGCCUUGGUUGCAGGGCAGAGAGGGACCCUCGGAGACUUCCCAAGUCUCGGAUCCGACUUCCUCGAACGGAGCACCGACCUCGGGGUUCGGUUCAACGGGCGCUCCUUCGGUCACGGACACUGUACGCAAAAAUGAUGAAUGCUCAUGAUAUGCGUAUGACAAAUAUGCAAGAAGGACCAAAUCAAGUACAAUUUGCCUUCUUAAUGCAAUACAGAAUAAUCAGUAAAUAAAGUUGUUUAACAUCUUAAUGCUUUUACCCAAGAGGUUGCAUCUGCAAAAUAAAAUCUCUUUUAACCCAUAAUUAACCUGAAUUAACUAAUUAUUAAUCCUAUUUACUUUAAUUAAUUCUUAAUUAACUAUUAAUGACAGUAAUUAAGCAUUAAGGCUAAACAAUAAUUAAAUGCCAAAGGUCAUUAGGGUUAAUGACCUCAGGUCAUCACACAAUCCCCAAAAUCACUCAACCCUAAUGAUGAGGAUUUAACUAAUUAUUAUUUAAUUAUUUUGGAAUUAUUACUUAGGUACUAAAUAAGGGUUUAUUAAUAUUUUAUUCAAACAUUAUCCAAAUGCCACCAAAUUUUGGGUGGAGCCAGGGAAUAAUAUUCAGAGGCUCUCCACAAUUUUUGGUGAUUUUUGGACACCUUAAUAAAUUACUAAAAUUCAUAGAAGUUUUAUUUGCUAAUUAAAAGGGCCAAUUUUUAUAUCCUUGCAAACUAUUAGAAAGCAGAAUCUAGUAUUUUUCUUGGAUCCUACAUAUUUCAGAGAGUUUAUACAAAAAUUCUCAUUAUUUUUGGAUCAUCACACAAUUUAUUACACAAAUUCAAAUAUAAAACAAAAACUGCAUAAAAGAAAAAAAAGAAAAGACACUGCAGCGGGUGGCCGGAUUUCGGCCCGCAGGCCGGCCCGCUUCGGCUCGGCCCGCGCGGACGCUGCGCACGCCGCCUUCUCUCCGCGCGGUCGCUGACAAGCGGGGCCUGCUCGUCAGGCCCCUCCCCCCUUCCAGCGAGACGCUGACAGGACGGCCCCGCCUGUCAGCUGCGUCUCCUACGCGUACGGCGGCGCUGCCGCAGCUCCGGCAGCCGCUAGCGAGGUCCUUGGCCCCCGCGUGCGCGCGCACCAGCUCCGCCUCACCUCCGCGGACCCCUCUCUACCACGUACUCGCGCUCUACUGCCUUCUUCCUAUCGCAACCGCGUCACCGGCGGACGGCUGCCAUGGCCGACUAUCGGCCGGCCACCAGGACCCGGUAGAGUGCAAGCCGACGGCCUAGGGAGCUCCCACAGGGGUUGGGGAGGAUGGUGCUCACGCUGCAAGUCUCGGGGAAGCAGCUGAAGCCGCUGGCGACAGAAGCAGUGUCGUCGGGCGGGAGCUCUGGCUCCGGCCAGCUUGUUCCGGUGAUCACAUUCAAGGAGAGGGAGCAAGAGCAUGAGCAACCGGGGCACGGAGGGAACACGAAACAGUUGCCAGAGGGGUGUGAUACUCACUGGAACACCGUGGCCACGGUAAGAACUCCGCGGCGGCGGUCUCGGCCGGAGUUGGAGAAGAGGAAGGAGCUCUGGCGUUUGAGGGGGUUAGAGAGGAAAUUUGGGGGUGCACUGGAUUCGCAAGAAAGUGACGAAGACACUGGGUUGCUCAAUUUGGCUCGGGAAGGAGUGGUUGUGGUGAAUUUGGGAGAGAAAGGCUCGUCGGGUUCUUGGGCUCCGGACGGAGGAAAUGCACGGCGUCGUCCACGCUGCGCUCAAGUGGAGGGGAAAGCAAGCCCGAGGCAUCCACGUCGCCUGGCGACCCUGGCAGCAAGCAGCUGCGUGCACGCACGCAUGCGCGCGGCGCUGCUCGCGCGGCGGCUGCGCUGGACAGGGAGCCGGUGAUCCAUAUCGGAUCAUUGUAGCAGACCCUUAUCCCUCCUUUUUGACUUUUGUAAAAUUUACUCAAAAUUUGAACUGAACACAAGAUCUCACCAAAACAAAAGUUGUACAAAAUUUUGUAAGUUACAAUUCCUCUUUUGGUGGCCAGAGCUGAUUCCAAGUGGAAAGUAGCCAAUUUGGCCAAACAGUUUUGAAAUUGAACUUAAUUCAAAGAAAUUCAAAUUUUUGAAUUGGGGGCAAAACAGGAUUUCCAAAAUUACUUUUGAUUUUGCAUAACAACUUGAAAAACUCCCAACAUGAAAGUUGCUCAACUUUUUGUGCUCUACAACUUUCAUGUUGACCACUUUUCAAAAUUCCAAAUGGAUUUUGAAUUGGGGGUUUAAGUUGGAAAAGGGGACACUUUUCUGGAAAUCUGUAUUUUCAAAAUUACUUUGAAUUCUAUAUUGAAACUUCAAAAACUCAAAACACCAAAGUUGUACAUCUUGACAAGAUCUACAACUUUGCUUUUGAACUCAACCUCAAAUUUUGUUUGGUUUUUAAAUUGUGAAAAAGGGGGCAAAUCUAGGGUCCAGAAAUCAGGGUUUCCCCCCCUAGCUCUCGGAAAUCUUCCACCCUAGGGUUUUAGCAACCACACAAGCAUCAACACACCACAUAAGCACACUCUACCUCCCUAAGCUCAAGCAAUCAAAGUAAACUUGUUUUAAGUUGAUGCAUACUAAUGUGCUUAACAAAUAUGCUUUGCAAUGCUCAUGAUGACAUGAUCCGUUUUUAGUAACCGUAACAUCGGGGAUGUUACAGCCCUUCCCCCUUAAAGAAAUCUCGUCCCCGAGAUUUAAAACCUUAGGGUAAGUAAUGGAAAAGGAAAUUUGUCAAAACUCUUUCAUCUUCAACUUUCUCAUAAAGCAAGAGGUUGAAAAAAACACUCCAUUACAAACGUGUAUGUACAUUAAGUACAUGGCUUUGGCGACUCUUUUCCUUCACUAGAGUACACUCUCUAGUCAUCAUAUAUUGUCCUGAAGAGAAGCAUGGAAUUCAGGGAAAUUCUCUAGCAAGAAAUCUUCAGAUUCCCAGGUGGCUUCUUCUUCAGAGUGCUGGCUCCAUUGUACCUUGUACCAUUUGGUGGUUGUUCUUCGAGUAACUCUAUCUUUCUGAUCCAGUACUCGGAUAGGAUACUCCGAAUAAGUUAGAUCUGGUUCAAGUUCUACAUCUUCAAUAUCUUGAACUCGGUCUGGUACUCGAAGACACUUUUUCAGUUGAGACACAUGGAACACAUUAUGUACCCCGGAUAAUCGUUCGGGCAGUUUAAGGCGGUAAGCGACCUGUCCACAUCGGUCAAUGAUUGGAAAUGGACCAAUGUAACGAGGCGCUAACUUGCCUUUAACACCAAAACGAUUUACUCCUUUCAUUGGGGAUACUUUCAAAUACACAUGAUCACCUUUGGCGAACUUUAAUGGUCGACGUCUUUUAUCAGCGUAACUUUUCUGUCGGGACUGAGCAACUUUCAAGUUAUUUUGGAUUUGUUUCACUUUGUUCUCAGUCUCUUUCACUAAGUCAACUCCGAAGAACCAUCUUUCUCCAGGUUCCGACCAGUGUAACGGAGUUCGACAUCGGCGACCAUACAGUGCCUCAAAGGGAGCCAUUUUGAUACUCUCUUGAUAGCUAUUAUUGUAGGAAAAUUCUGCUAGAGGCAAGCAGUCAUCCCACUUAUCUGGAAAAUUCAGGGCACAAGAUCUUAAUAGAUCUUCUAGGGUUUGAUUCACCCUUUCAGUUUGCCCACCAGUUUGAGGGUGGUAGGCUAUGCUGUAUAAAAGUUUAGUGCCCAGGGACUCAUGUAAACAUUUCCAGAAUUGGGAGACAAAUUGUGUGCCUCUAUCUGACACUAUUGUCUUUGGCACCCCAUGCAGACUUAGGAUACGGUCGAAAUAAAUCUUAGCAUAGGUGGAGGCAGGAUACAAUAGCUUUACAGGCAGAAAAUGUGCUGUUUUGGUGAGACGAUCUACUAUGACCCAAAUUGAAUCAAAGCCCUUGGCCGUCUUGGGCAAUCCUACUAUGAAAUCCAUACUUAUGUCAUCCCAUUUCCAUGCGGGGAUAGGCAAAGGUUGCAACUCCCCAGCGGACUUGAGAUGAAUAGCUUUGACUUUUCGGCAGGUGUCACAUUGGGCCACAUAGCGAGCUAUCUCUAUCUUCAUUUUUGUCCACCAAAACCUUUGCUUUAGGUCCUGAUACAUCUUGUUGCUUCCCGGAUGAAUAGAAUACCUCGUGGUAUGAGCUUCAUCCAGGAUUUGUUGACGUAGCUCAGGUACCUUUGGAACCACUAACCGGUUCUUGAACUAGAUUACUCCCGCAUCAUCCACCUUAAAGUCUGUGGGUGCUCUAUUAGAAAUCUUCUCUUUAAGAUGUUUCAUGCCUUUGUCUACUUUUUGUGCCCCUAUGAUUUGAGCUUCGAGAUUGAAGUCAAUCUUUAGAUUGGAAAGGCUUCCUUGGGAAAUCAUUUCUAUCUCCAAGUUCUCUAGCUCUUGGCACAAAGUUAUGUCUCUAGGCAUCACUGUUACGCAAUUGUAGUGAGCCUUACGACUGAGGGCAUCCGCUACUACAUUUGCCUUUCCCGGGUGAUAAUGCACCUCAAGGUCGUAAUCUUUAAUUAACUCUAGCCACCUUCGCUGGCGCAUAUUAAGCUCAGCUUGAGUAAAGAUAUACUUCAAACUCUUGUGAUCGGUGUAUAGAUGACAUGUGUUCCCCAACAGAUAAUGAUGCCAGAUCUUUAAUGCAUGUACCACGGCGGCUAGUUCAAGAUCAUGGGUCGGGUAAUUCUCUUCAUGUGGUUUGAGUUGUCUGGAAGCAUAUGCAAUUACGCGACCCUCCUGCAUUAGCACACAGCCUAUCCCGAUCCCUGAUGCAUCACAAUAUACAUCAAAGGGUUUUUCAAUAUCUGGCUGGGCUAAGACAGGUGCAGUUGUCAACAACCUUUUCAGAGUCUGAAAGGCUUGCUCACAUUGGGGUGACCAAACAAACUUGGUUUGAUUUUUGAGCAAGGUUGUGAUUGGUUUGGCGACUCUGGAAAAGUCCGGGAUAAAACGACGGUAAUAUCCCGCCAUACCCAGAAAACUACGGACCUCAUGUACCGUAGUUGGGGGUUUCCAAUUCAACACGUCUUCUACCUUGCCUGGGUCUACAGCGACUCCUUCUGCUGAUAAUACAUGACCCAGGAAAUGGACUUUGUCCAGCCAGAACUCACAUUUGCUGAACUUGGCGUAUAGCUGAUGUUCCCUGAGACGAGUCAGCACGACCCUCAAAUGUUCAGCAUGUUCUUUCUUAGUUUUGGAGUAAAUCAAAAUGUCGUCAAUAAAGACUACAACAAAUUUAUCUAGUUCUGGCAUGAAGACAGAGUUCAUCAGGUACAUGAAAUGGGCCGGUGCAUUGGUCAACCCAAAGGACAUCACCAAGUAUUCAUAUAUCCCGUAACGGGUUGUAAAAGCUGUCUUGGGCACAUCUUCCGGCCUAAUUUUAAUUUGGUGGUACCCUGAUCUCAAGUCAAUUUUUGAGAAUACUUUGGCCCCAGCUAGCUGGUCAAACAAUAAGUCAAUGCGGGGCAGUGGGUACUUAUUCUUAAUCGUCACCUCAUUUAGGGGACGAUAGUCGACACACAGCCUUAAUGUUUGAUCUUUCUUUUUCACAAACAAGGCUGGGCAACCCCAUGGAGAAGAACUGGGCUGAAUAAAACCUUUGUGCAACAACUCUUGUAAUUGGGUUUUUAAUUCGGCCAGCUCUUUCGGUGCCAUUCUGUAGGCCCUUCGAGAUAUUGGGGCCGUCCCUGGCUUCAGUUCUAUACUGAAUUGUACAUCCCGGUCCGGAGGCAAACCUGGUAAGUCUUCAGGAAAUACAUCCGGGAAAUCUCGAACUACCGGGAUAUCUUUAACUUCAGACUCAUUAGCGGCAUGAACUUGCCCAAUUGUCCGCUUGGGAGUAACUAAUUGAAUUAGCAAAUAAGAAUUCUCAUUGGGCAAUGGGAUUUUAAUGGUUCGAUGCAAAGUGUCCAGCACAACCCCUCGUUGUGCCAUCCAGUUCAUGCCUAAGAUGACAUCAAUUUCUUGGUCCUUAAGAACAAUCAUGCUAGUAGGAAAAUUAUGCCCACCAAAUUCGAUGGGUACUUGGUGAACCAUUUCUUUGGACAUCAGCCGUCCUCCUGGCGACUGUAUAUAAAAAUGAUCUUGUGUUUCCCCAAUGGGUAUGCCAUGCUUUAACACAAAGGUGCGAUUAAUGAAUGUAUGAGAUGCACCAGAAUCGAAGAGCAUUAAAGCAGGAUGUUUCGCAACAGGAAACGUACCCAUCAUCACUGGUUCACCCUCUGGAAUCGUCUCCACUUCAGUAUGGAAGACUUGCCCUGUCUUCUUUACCGGUCUACCUUUCUGUACUUGUUGCCCUUUCUCAGCCCCAGUCCUGAACUGACUCGACUGGGGUUGGCCCAUAGGUGGCCUUUGAAAGGUAGGGUUGGUUUGGCGGGGCACUCUUUAGAGAAAUGCCCAGGCUUACCACAAUUGAAGCAAGGGUAAUUGUGGCUGGGUGAAGCAGUGGGGCGAACACCCGGGGCGUUUGGCUGGCGUGGUGCAAAAGCGAUGGCAGUAGGUCGAGAGUAUACCUGCUGCCCGGGUCUGUACUGUGGAGGGGAGAAAGGACCACGAUAAGGUGACGGCGCUUGGAAAUGUCCGUGGCCCUGUGGAUGAUAAAUGAUUCUCUGGCGCUUUUGACCGCGACCAGAGAAAGAAUAGGAAGCAGCCUUCUUCUUGGCUUCCUUGUGUUUUCUAUUCUUUUCCUCUGAGGCGAUGGCAAUAUUUACCGCCUCAUAGAAGGUAGCAUUUUGGCAAGUGGUCAUCAUGGUCUGAAGUUUAGUAUUUAGACCACGCAUGAAACAGGCUUUCUUCUUUCUGUCAGUGUUCACAUGAUCCGUGGCAUAUUGAGAGAGAUGAUUAAACCUUGCCACGUACUCCAUAACACUUUUAUCGCCUUGCUGCAAGGCGAGAAACUCUUCGGCCUUCAUGGCCAUGAGCCCUUCGGGGAUGUAGUGGGCGCGGAACGUGUCCUUGAAUUCGGUCCAGGUGACUUGGUGUCCGGGAGCUUGGAUAGCUAAGAAGUUCUCCCACCAGGCACCUGCAGCUCCCCGAAGCUGCUGAGCUGCAAACAGGGGCUUCUGAGUUUCUGAACACUGAAUCAAACUGAACUUAUGCUCCAUAGUUCGGAGCCAGUCAUCCGCUUCUAAAGGCUCAUCGGCCUUAGUGAACACCGGGGGCCUGGUCUCGGUAAAGUCCACAUACCGAGUCUCUCCGUCCCCGUUGCGCGGUGCCCUGAAGUUUGGGGCGAGGUGUGGUUGACGCUGUGCUAGCUCGCGCAGCAAGCGAGCGUUGUCAGUUGUGGCACUUAGCAGAACAGCAAUGGUGUCAGCCAAAGAAGGUGGAGCAGGUGGAGGGUUGGGGAUAUCAUCCCCUCCCUGAGAUGUCCCAGCUCCCUCAGAUCCGCGAGUACGCAUCGGCAUCUGUUACAAGAGUCGUAGAUACCUGUUACCACGUGAAAUUCAUAACACAGAACAUAUCUUACAUUCUUCCAUUCACUUAUUAAACAUUAGUUCGACACACCAAGAGUAAAUAGGUACAACUUCUCAAACCGAACGAGAACUUAUAUUACAAACCCGAACCCCACUACGGCAAGCUAGGACCCCUACAACGACGUUGCCCUCGGUUUCACUGAACUAAUCGGUGUGGCCAGAGCUGUAGCCCGGGUCGUCAUUGCCAUCAUCCUGAUUACCCCCUGGGUUGUGGUCAUCGGGGUCGGACUCCUCUUCAUCACUGAGGCCUGGAUCGGGUUCCCCAUCGUCUGCCAACUCGCCAUCCGUAUCCAUUUCUCCUUCGCCUGGAGGUGGGUGGAGCUGAUGAUACAGAUCAAAUGCAAUAUCACGAUAUUGCAUUGCCAAGUCAUUAACGGUAUCUAAGUGAUGUGCCAGCUCCAAUUUCUCCAGCUGGAGCUGGUCCUCUCGUUGCCACGCGACAUCCCGCUGUGCGGUGACCGUGGCCGCCAUCUUCACGUACAAAUCCUUAAGAUACCUGGCCUUGCCCAACUUUGCGUUCAUCCUAGUCAACUCAUGCCUGUGUGUGCUCCUUGCUUCUUCCUCUCGGGUAAUGGCUGCAUUCCGCUCCUCCACCAUCCGGGACAACAUAGCCUCACAGUUCUCUGUAGCUUGUUUUUCUUUGGCCAGUUGAGCUUUAAGUUUGCCAAUCUCCAUAACAUUGUACAUUCUCUCUCUCAUCACCUCAGUCAACUCGGCGGACAACCUGUCCACCUCCUGCUGAGGCGGUGAACGGCUACUGCUGGCUUGAUCGCUGCGGGGAGCCAACUGAUGUCGGGGAACUCCUUUCGGACCUGUCCUCUUACGCGGGGUCUGCUUCUGACGAGCCAUCCUGUAGAGGGUAAGUUUAGAUUAGUAAGAGAGACCUUAAAGGUUAGCAAGAAUAGGAUUGAUUCUAUUCACCCAACCCAAACAAGGAGGAAGGAACUUAACCAGUUAAUACAUCACGAUGCAUGCACGAUCUUACGAUUCCUACUAACAAUUCGUAACAAUAUUACUUUAAAUUUUUAAAACAUAGGGCACUACUAUAUAUUGCUCCUCCAUACCACUUCAAAAAUUCUAAGAAAGCCUAUAGACAGGGGUAGGUUAGGACUAAGCACUUGGACUCAAAAUAGGCAGGUUCAUAGUAUUAGAUCCAAACGAAUUUUUGAAGUUUUUCAAUAGGUACUGCAGUCAUCUUAGCAACGAAUGCUCUGAUACCAGCUGUGGCAGAACCCCCUAAGUGUUUGGGCCCGCCGGCACCUGCCAUUGUCCUAAGGACCUCUGACGGUGAUGCCGGGAGUCCUCCCACUUUAGAAGUCCGAUGAGCAUCGCUGGACGCUCAUUCCACUGCUACCUGUGGCGUACCAAGCUGGCUCGUCCUGACCACUGGUAAUGGUCAAACAACGAGAACUGCUUCUUCUCGCCCUUACAGGAUAGCAAGUGGCCACCUUAACACCAGGAUCAUUCGUUGCGAAGAUAAAGCAGUAACUCAACGACACAAGACCAAAAUAAUAUUUCAGAGUGAAACAACGGAAGUAUUACAUAACUUAAUUUACAAAAGGAGUUCUUCCAAUUAGUAGAGUGUUAUUACAAGCCUGGUCCAGCGGAGCAACUGAAACUUUAGUACAGACAGUACAAAUUUACAGACCCUGCCCAUGGGUCACGCUCACUCUUCUUCGUCGUCAACCUCGACGACGGUCACACAACAGGGUCCGAAACAAGUCGGCUCCUGUGCUUCACCUGCAACAGGAGUAUUGAAACCCUGAGUACGGGAGUACUCAACAAGACUUACCCGAUGGGAAAAGAGGAGAACUUAGGGAUGCAGGCUUAGGGUAGACAAGGGGUGGCUGAGCAAGGAGCCAAAGUGUUUUGCUUAAAAAGCUUACUAGUAGUGCAUCCUUAUUUUCAAGUUUUACCCGCGAAUUCCUCCCUCGCAGAGGCUGAGGAGUUCGAGGACAGUCUAACUAGUUGUUCCCCACAGACGAAUCCGUGAGUUCCUAGUCCUAUCACAAAGUAUUAUUUAUCGAUGGCCAUAGCUUCAUGUCGCUAUGAGUCCGGGAAUUGGGAUCCGAACCUCAUGGGACAUUUUCCCUUUUCUCAUUUUAUCACUUAGUUGCAUAUUUAACUACGAUGAGGGUCGAAGGAAUUGAGUCUCCCAAUCGGGGAGCAACGACGAUUCGAAUCGCUUAGCAAUCCAGCUGGAGUUCCUAACCACCCGACAUAUGUAGAACCAAAUCUUGCAUAUAUCAACCCAAAUCAAGCUCUCCCCAAAUUUGACCAGGUUCACGGCACCCGAGAGCACAGUACCCCACCAUCCUACAGCCGAUCUAGAUGUUUUCCGGUCAUCUCAGAUCCGUAAGGUGGGCACACGUUACUCUCGCCAUCUUUCCACUCCCAGUGCGCGAGUAGCUGUUCACGUCGAGGGAUCACAAGACCGGGCUUACCGAGGGCAAGUGGCUAGUACUACAAAUUCUCAACCCAGCAGGCCAUCAACGGAACGGUCCUUAAUCAACACAGUCGGAGACACUACUUUAAGACUCCAUUCUUAGAGCAAGUCCACCGACCGGUCUCAAAUUGAAACAUCAUUGAUCAUAAGUGUAUCCCACAACAACCCUUCAAACUUUCUUGUUUGAAAACCUAUCUAGUAGCAGGGCUAAGCAUCGCUACGCAGUUUUAUAAUAAAACAGGUGUCAAGGACAGGAUAACAGAUAUCAAGUUAGUAAAUGCAGCAAGUAGGUUAACCCAAUUCUCAACUACCUAAUGCAGCAUUUUCAAUUCAUAAGUGAUAAAAGAUUUAAAACAUCCAAGGAGGGGUUAAUGCAUCCGGGGCUUGCCUUGGUUGCAGGGCAGAGAGGGACCCUCGGAGACUUCCCAAGUCUCGGAUCCGACUUCCUCGAACGGAGCACCGACCUCGGGGUUCGGUUCAACGGGCGCUCCUUCGGUCACGGACACUAUACGCAAAAAUGAUGAAUGCUCAUGAUAUGCGUAUGACAAAUAUGCAAGAAGGACCAAAUCAAGUACAAUUUGCCUUCUUAAUGCAAUAUAGAAUAAUCAGUAAAUAAAGUUGUUUAACAUCUUAAUGCUUUUACACAAGAGGUUGCAUCUGCAAAAUAAAAUCUCUUUUAACCCAUAAUUAACCUGAAUUAACUAAUUAUUAAUCCUAUUUACUUUAAUUAAUUCUUAAUUAACUAUUAAUGACAGUAAUUAAGCAUUAAGGCUAAACAAUAAUUAAAUGGCAAAGGUCAUUAGGGUUAAUGACCUCAGGUCAUCACACAAUCCCCAAAAUCACUCAACCCUAAUGAUGAGGAUUUAACUAAUUAUUAUUUAAUUAUUUUGGAAUUAUUACUUAGGUACUAAAUAAGGGUUUAUUAAUAUUUUAUUCAAACAUUAUCCAAAUGCCACCAAAUUUUGGGUGGAUCCAGGGAAUAAUAUUCAGAGGCUCUCCACAAUUUUUGGUGAUUUUUGGACACCCUAAUAAAUUACUAAAAUUCAUAGAAGUUUUAUUUGCUAAUUAAAAGGGCCAAUUUUUAUAUCCUUGCAAACUAUUAGAAAGCAGAAUCUAGUAUUUUUCUUGGAUCCUACAUAUUUCAGAGAGUUUAUACAAAAAUUCUCAUUAUUUUUGGAUCAUCACACAAUUUAUUACACAACUUUAAAUAUAAAACAAAAACUGCAUAAAAGAAAAAAAAAAGAAAAGACACUGCAGCGGGUGGCCGGAUUUCGGCCCGCAGGCCGGCCCGCUUCGGCUCGGCCCGCGCGGACGCUGCGCACGCCGCCUUCUCUCCACGCGGUCGCUGACAAGCGGGGCCUGCUCGUCAGGCCCCUCCCCCCUUCCAGCGAGACGCUG
RNAcentral lists this long non-coding RNA (11314 nucleotides) under Sorghum bicolor (sorghum). RNAcentral describes it as "long non-coding RNA (SBIC_LNC004667)". The record is from RNAcentral. Lineage: Eukaryota; Viridiplantae; Streptophyta; Magnoliopsida; Poales; Poaceae.